AGGGCGUAUGGUGGAUGCCUUGGCAGACAGUACCGAUGAAGGACGUUUGAGGCUGCGAUAUGCCUCGGGGAGCCGCCAGCAGGGCUUUGAUCCGAGGAUUUCCGAAUGGGGGAACCCGCCGGCCGUCAUGGGCCGGCACCGCGUUCGCGCGGGGGGUACGCAGGGAAGUGAAACAUCUCAGUACCUGCAGGAAAGGAUGUUCCGUGAGUAGUGGCGAGCGAAAGCGGAUCAGGCCAAACCGCGCGCGUGUGACAGGCGCCAGCCGUUGCGCGCGUGGUGUUGAGGGAGCGUGUGUCCGGGUCCUGGCGGGCCCGGCCGGAGUGAUAAAACGGCGUGUGAGGCGAACCGGAUUGAAUGCCGGGCCGCAGAGGGUGAUGGCCCCGUAGCCGAACGCGCGUCGUCUCCGGAUCGUGUUUCCCAAGUAGCGCGGGACUCGUGGAAUCCCGUGUGAAUCCGCCCCGACCGUGGGGUAAGCCUAGAUAUACCUGUCUGACCGAUAGCGAACUAGUACCGUGAGGGAAAGGUGAAAAGCACCCCGGGAGGGGAGUGAAACAGUCUCUGAAACCGUGCGCUUACAAACCGUCGGAGCCUUUCGGGGUGACGGCGUGCCUAUCGAAAAAUGAGUCUGCGAGUCAGUGGCACGUGGCGAGCGUAACCCGUGUGGGGUACGCGUAGCGAAGGCGAGUCUCAAAAGGCGUUUGAGUCGCGUGUCCUGGACCCGAAGCGGGAUGAUCUAGCCCUGAGCAGGUUGAAGCGCGGGUAAGACCGCGUGGAGGACCGAACCCACCUGGGUUGAAAACCGGGGGGAUGACUUGGGGCUAGGGGUGAAAGGCCAAUCAAAUUCCGUGAUAGCUGGUUCUCUCCGAAAUGCAUUUAGGUGCAGCGUCGGGGAUUACGUCCGGGGGGUAGAGCUACUGGAUGCUUGAGGGCCCGUAUCGGGUACCGACAGCAGCCAAACUCCGAAUACCCGUGACGCGUAUCCCGGCAGUGAGUCGGCGGGGGAUAAGCUCCGUCGUCGAAAGGGAGACAGCCCAGAUCGUCGUCUAAGGUCCCCAAGCGCGUGCUAAGUGGGAAAGGAUGUGGAGUCGCAUAGACAGCCAGGAGGUUGGCUCAGAAGCAGCCACCCUUGAAAGAGUGCGUAACAGCUCACUGGUCUAGUGGUUCCGCGCCGACAAUGUAGCGGGGCUCAAGCACGCCACCGAAGACGCGGCAGCGUCCGUUUGGAUGCUGGGUAGGAGAGCGUCCCCAUCGGGGCGAAGCGGCGGCGCAAGCCUGCCGUGGACCGUUGGGGAGUGAGAAUGCAGACAUGAGUAGCGAGAGGCGGGUGCGAAUCCCGCCCGCUGGAUGACCAAGGGUUCCGGGGCCACGUUCGUCGUCCCCGGGUGAGUCGGGUCCUAAGGCGAGGCCGACAGGCGUAGUCGAAUGGAUGAACGGGCUGAUAUUCCCGUACCGGCAGCGAACCGAAACAACCGAGGCCUGGGGCGCUAACCUCCGGGUCCGUGCCGUCUCCCCUUUCGGGGGGUCGCGGCGCGGGCGCGUUGGGAUCCCCCCUCGUAGUAGGUCAGCGCAGGAGUGACGCAUCAGGGCAGCCGGCCGCGGAGGUGGUUUUCCGUGGUCAAGCGUUCGAGCCCGUCCCGCAGGCAAAUCCGCGGGGCGUCGGGGCGAGGCGUGAUGAUGGGGGCCUUACGGCCCGAAUCCGGUGAUCCGUGGUGCCGAGAAAAGCUUCGGCGUCAGGCGCGUUGCCGCCCGUACCCCAAACCGACACUGGUGGUCAGGUAGAGAAUACCAAAGCGAUCGAGCGAAUCCUGGUCAAGGAACUCGGCAAAUUGCUCCCGUGCCUUCGGCAUAAGGGAGACCCCCUGCGGUGAUGAGCGGCGGGGGGUGGCACAGGCCAGGGGGUAGCGACUGUUUACCAAAAACACAGGAGCGUGCGAAGGCGCAAGCCGCUGUAUACGCUCUGACGCCUGCCCGGUGCCGGAAGGUUAAGAGGAUCCGUCAGCUUUCUGCGAAGCGGUGAAUUCAAGCCCCGGUAAACGGCGGUGGUAACUAUAACCAUCCUAAGGUAGCGAAAUUCCUUGUCGGGUAAGUUCCGACCUGCACGAAUGGCGUAACGACUUCCCCACUGUCUCGACCAGGAGCUCGGCGAAAUUGCAGUACGAGUAAAGAUGCUCGUUAAGCGCAGAAGGACGAAAAGACCCCGGGACCUUUACUAUACCUUGGUAUUGGCAUUCGGUGUGGAUUGUGUAGCAUAGGCGGGAGGCCGAGAGGCGCGGUCGCCAGAUCGCGCGGAGCCGUAAGGUGAAAUACCGCUCUGUUCGCAUUGGAUGUCUAACCUCGAACAGUCAUCCUGUUCAGGGACAGUGCCUGGCGGGUAGUUUAACUGGGGCGGUUGCCUCCCAAAGAGUAACGGAGGCGCCCAAAGGUCCGCUCAGCCCGGUUGGCAAUCGGGUGGCGAGUGCAAGUGCACAAGCGGGCUUGACUGCGAGGACGACGGUCCGAGCAGGGACGAAAGUCGGGA
RNAcentral lists this ribosomal RNA (2518 nucleotides) under human gut metagenome. RNAcentral's name for it is "bacterial LSU rRNA". It matches the Rfam family "Bacterial large subunit ribosomal RNA", at positions 14 to 2411 of the family's 2925-position model. The record is from RNAcentral.